CAGGCAAGUUUAAAACGUGCCCAAGCUCAUAUAGUCAGUGAGUGAUGGAGCUAGGUUAGAAGUCCAGGCCCCGUGCCCAGCCACUAAGCUUUAGUGUGGAAUGUUGACAGUGAUGAUGUAAGAGGAGAUGGCACUGAUAAAGAUGGCCAUGAUGAUGAUGAUGAUGACUCCAAACUCCUUGCUGACUAGUUACUCCAUUCUUAGCCUCUUUCAAAAAGGCAAGCCUCCCCUGGCUGCCCAGCCAUAGGGGAUAGGUACCAGGUGAGCAUGAGCUCUCCUUUACCUGUUCAGUUCCAUUUCCAGGGAACACUGUGCAGUGCCAGCCUGGGAGGCCACCCAUGCAGACUGCAGACGUGUUGAAGGAAGACGCUUCCCAGGGCCAUGUUGUGCAAACUCCGUGGAGCACAGCUCCCCCCUGCCCCGAGGCGUUUUCCUGGCCCAAGGCUCUGGCCAGCCCUUUUCCCUCCAACCUAGCAUGGUUCCCUCUGAGUCAUCUCAUCUGCCCAGCCUGGAAUGUGCUGCCUUGACCUUUCCACCUGCUUAAAGCCUGCUCAUCCCUUAGGGUCCAGCUCAAGUUCAUGUGGUUGGUUGCUUUGUUCUUCCAUUCGUUCAUUCAUCCAUUCAUAUUUAUCAAUCGUGUUUACGAAUCUCCUGCAAUGUGUCAAGUAUGUGUGGUGUAGAGGGAUGAGCACGGGUUGGGGGGGCAGACACAGGUUUGAUCCUGUCCCUUCUCAGCCAUGUGACUGAGCAAGUCGCUCCCCGAGCUUCAGUUUUCCCCCUUGUAAAAUGUGGAUCAUCAGUGAGACUGUGUGAGUUGAGAGAAUCAUAAACACUAACUUUCUCCCACAAGUACCCUCUCUCACGCCCUCUCACACCCUCUCUGCAUCCCGGGCUCCCCCUGGCCGCUGCUUGAGUGGGAACAUGCUAAUUCAGCAAGUCAACCAAUGAUCACCAGGAAGACACCGGGGCCCAGGACUGGUCUUCUCUUGACUAUAGCAUUAAGACCAUGACUAGAUUCAAGGAAAAGUCUCAACAAGAGUUGGUUGCCUCCCCAGAACACUGUGUAGUUCCGUGGAACACAGGCCUUCCUGGGUGUCCAGAUCAGAGUAGGGGAGAGUAUGCAGCCUUUUAGGUCUUAAGGACCAUCCUGCUGAAGACUUGUCAAGAGAACGGAGCACAGCUCCCUCCUGCUCCCAUCUGAGGCAGCCUAGGCAGGGCCAGCACUUGGUGAUGGUGACAUAUCCCAGUCAGGUGCCUGACUGGUGAGGGUGCCUGGUCUCCCUCCAUGUCCCAGUAGAGACUCCAUGUUCAUCCUCAUGGGGACUGGCCCACUGAGGGGAGGGGAGCCUAUCUUGAAGGCCCUGCUUUUGACCUUUUCCUCCUUUUCCUCCUUAGGGGCUGAGUCAACCUCAUGAGAAUGGACAAGCUUCUUAAGACCCUUCCCCAACCACCAAGACUGAAACCCUCCUUCCGCCCGUAUUGGCGGUCAUUCUCACUUACAUUGGACGCACUGGUCGCCCAUUGCCCAAUCUUUCGAAUAUGCCUGGCCUCUCCUGUCUUAGCCAUGCAGGACAAAUGCAAAGGACAGCUAAGAACCUAAUUAAAAAGCCUGCAGGCAAAAGGGCCCUGGAUCGAGAAACCAACAGCUGCUCCCUCUGAGGAUGCACUUAUGUCAUCUGAGAAUUUCUUCCCAAAUGAGACAGGCAGAGACAGGGCUACAAAGGAAGGGAGGAAGAAAAAGGAAAGCUCACGACAAGGAGAGACUAAGAAAGGGAGACAGUAGGCCCUGUGGGUGCAGCCUGAACCGGCCCACAUGGGCUUUGACGACAGAGCCAAGGAUUUGCCUUUUGCUCAAAGGAAGGGAGGGGGCUUCAGGGAUGCUCUGGGGCUGUAGAGUCAGAGCCCAAGCCCCUAGCAAGUCCCCCAGCCUGGGAGGCAGAGUGUGCAGCCAGGGCAACCUCUGGACACCAUCAAAUUGCACACAAAAAUCUGGGGCCUCCAUGGGAACUGCAGAUUCUACAGAGUGUAGGGGUAGGAGGGUGGGGGAUUGAAAUUGUAUUAUUUCUUCCUCCUUCCUUGAAAACUCUGAUCACUAAAAGUAAAAACACACACACUCACUCACCCUUGCACAUACCUCUUCAAUGUCUGGGCUAUCCAUCUUUGUCAAAAAGAACCAAGAUGUUAUCUGUGAGGUAUGUCUGCAUUGAACUUCAGACAAGACCAAACCUACCUCCUCUCUCCUUGCAAAAAAAAAAAAAAAAAA
Molecule: long non-coding RNA, 2263 nt
Organism: Macaca fascicularis (crab-eating macaque)
Lineage: Eukaryota; Metazoa; Chordata; Mammalia; Primates; Cercopithecidae
Source: Ensembl